RNAcentral lists this ribosomal RNA (214 nucleotides) under uncultured Streptococcus sp. Its description in RNAcentral is "partial 16S ribosomal RNA". It matches the Rfam family "Bacterial small subunit ribosomal RNA", at positions 1170 to 1382 of the family's 1533-position model. The record is from RNAcentral. Lineage: Bacteria; Bacillati; Bacillota; Bacilli; Lactobacillales; Streptococcaceae.
AAGGUGGGGAGUGACGUCAAAUCAUCAUGCCCCUUAUGACCUGGGCUACACACGUGCUACAAUGGUUGGUACAACGAGUUGCGAGUCGGUGACGGCGAGCUAAUCUCUUAAAGCCAAUCUCAGUUCGGAUUGUAGGCUGCAACUCGCCUACAUGAAGUCGGAAUCGCUAGUAAUCGCGGAUCAGCACGCCGCGGUGAAUACGUUCCCGGGCCUU